GAUGAACGCUGGCGGCGUGCCUAACACAUGCAAGUCGAACGGAGAUUACGGACGGAAGUUUUCGGAUGGAAGACUGUAAUUCUUAGUGGCGGACGGGUGAGUAACGCGUGGGCAACCUGCCCUAUACAGGGGGAUAGCAGCUGGAAACGGCUGGUAAGACCGCAUAAGUCGGCGAGACCGCAUGGUUUUGCCGGGAAAUGAGCAAUCAGGUAUAGGAUGGGCCCGCGUCCGAUUAGCCAGUUGGCAGGGUAAAAGCCUACCAAAGCAACGAUCGGUAGCCGGACUGAGAGGUCGGACGGCCACAUUGGGACUGAGACACGGCCCAAACUCCUACGGGAGGCAGCAGUGGGGGAUAUUGCACAAUGGAGGAAACUCUGAUGCAGCGACGCCGCGUGAGUGAAGAAGUAUUUCGGUAUGUAAAGCUCUAUCAGCAGGGAAGAAGAUGACGGUACCUGACGAAGAAGCCCCGGCUAACUACGUG
RNAcentral lists this ribosomal RNA (481 nucleotides) under uncultured bacterium. RNAcentral's name for it is "partial 16S ribosomal RNA". It matches the Rfam family "Bacterial small subunit ribosomal RNA", at positions 28 to 507 of the family's 1533-position model. The record is from RNAcentral.